RNAcentral lists this ribosomal RNA (497 nucleotides) under uncultured bacterium. Its description in RNAcentral is "partial 16S ribosomal RNA". It matches the Rfam family "Bacterial small subunit ribosomal RNA", at positions 28 to 507 of the family's 1533-position model. The record is from RNAcentral.
GAUGAACGCUGGCGGCGUGCCUAAUACAUGCAAGUCGAGCGAACAGACGAGGAGCUUGCUCCUCUGACGUUAGCGGCGGACGGGUGAGUAACACGUGGAUAACCUACCUAUAAGACUGGGAUAACUUCGGGAAACCGGAGCUAAUACCGGAUAAUAUAUUGAACCGCAUGGUUCAAUAGUGAAAGACGGUUUUGCUGUCACUUAUAGAUGGAUCCGCGCCGCAUUAGCUAGUUGGUGAGGUAACGGCUUACCAAGGCAACGAUGCGUAGCCGACCUGAGAGGGUGAUCGGCCACACUGGAACUGAGACACGGUCCAGACUCCUACGGGAGGCAGCAGUAGGGAAUCUUCCGCAAUGGGCGAAAGCCUGACGGAGCAACGCCGCGUGAGUGAUGAAGGUCUUUGGAUCGUAAAACUCUGUUAUUAGGGAAGAACAAAUGUGUAAGUAACUAUGCACGUCUUGACGGUACCUAAUCAGAAAGCCACGGCUAACUACGUG